ACUUAAAAGCCCAAUACGAACCUUUCGUAUAAUUAAUUAACUAAUUAAUUAAUCUUGACCAUUCUUCAAUUAACCCAUUUAAUUGCAUAUCCAUUUCAUUUAAUUUCUUCACUAUCGCCCUUACUCGGUGUACGAUCCAUUAGGUUCCAAUUAGCGAGGUAGUGGGCGAUUGUUACUCUUAGCGAUCGAUUGUGAAUUGAAACCACAUUUCAAUU
RNAcentral lists this long non-coding RNA (215 nucleotides) under Malus domestica (apple). Its description in RNAcentral is "long non-coding RNA (MDOM_LNC017064)". The record is from RNAcentral. Lineage: Eukaryota; Viridiplantae; Streptophyta; Magnoliopsida; Rosales; Rosaceae.